CCUACGGGAGGCAGCAGUGGGGAAUAUUGGACAAUGGGGGGAACCCUGAUCCAGCCAUGCCGCGUGUGUGAAGAAGGCCCUCGGGUUGUAAAGCACUUUCAGUGAGGAAGAACGCCUGGUGGUUAAUACCCAUCAGGAAAGACAUCUCACAGAAGAAGCACCGGCUAACUCCGUGCCAGCAGCCGCGGUAAUACGGAGGGUGCGAGCGUUAAUCGGAAUUACUGGGCGUAAAGCGCGCGUAGGUGGCUUGAUAAGCCGGUUGUGAAAGCCCCGGGCUCAACCUGGGAACGGCAUCCGGAACUGUCAAGCUAGAGUGCAGGAGAGGAAGGUAGAAUUCCCGGUGUAGCGGUGAAAUGCGUAGAGAUCGGGAGGAAUACCAGUGGCGAAGGCGGCCUUCUGGACUGACACUGACACUGAGGUGCGAAAGCGUGGGUAGCAAACAGGAUUAGAUACCCUAGUAGUC
This 463-nucleotide ribosomal RNA is filed under the name Vreelandella stevensii. RNAcentral's name for it is "partial 16S ribosomal RNA". It matches the Rfam family "Bacterial small subunit ribosomal RNA", at positions 338 to 795 of the family's 1533-position model. The record is from RNAcentral. Lineage: Bacteria; Pseudomonadati; Pseudomonadota; Gammaproteobacteria; Oceanospirillales; Halomonadaceae.